Long non-coding RNA from Drosophila subobscura, 210 nucleotides. RefSeq lists it as uncharacterized. NCBI's taxonomy places the organism in Eukaryota, Metazoa, Arthropoda, Insecta, Diptera, Drosophilidae. The transcript is spliced from 3 exons. The record is from RefSeq and is a predicted model, not a curated record.
GACCUGUGAUAUUUGUGUUUGCAAUGGGUUUCUAAAAUGUCGGUGUCCUGGCUGGUAUCAUUGCAUAUAGUGCAGUGUACGACUACCUCGCCGAGAUUAACAUUUAUAUUGUCAAUACUUCGCCUUACCGCCAUUGUAACAAAUUAUGAUUAAGGAAAAACGAUAUAGUCUUUAAGACUAUGAAAGAUUUUUUUGAUCGGAAGAGCACAA